Long non-coding RNA from Tripterygium wilfordii, 1003 nucleotides. RefSeq lists it as uncharacterized. The transcript has 3 exons. The record is from RefSeq and is a predicted model, not a curated record. Lineage: Eukaryota; Viridiplantae; Streptophyta; Magnoliopsida; Celastrales; Celastraceae.
CUGCAGAUUCAGAACCAUCUGCUUCCAAUGGAGAUGAGAUUAAUUGAAUAAUCAAGGUGUCAAAAAGAAGGAAAAGAGAGAUAAAAGGUGCUCAUCGAGUCCAGUUUAGAAGAACCUUUCAAGAUGCGUAGGAGGUAUAAGCUACUAGAAUUCAUGGUACCCUGUUAGACUAGAUUGACCGAAAGACAAACUGGAGAACAAACUACACAAUUGCAGGUGGUUCUAAUCAGAUACCUCGAUCGACUUGCAGAAUUCAAUAUCGGACCAGCAGUUCUCAUCCAUGACUUGACCUUUUGAGAGAUUUGGGUUCACUACAACAGCACCUAUGCUUGACGCAUAGACAACUUUGUUCACCUUUGCCUUUACAGAUGCAUCCAGUACAUUCAACGUUCCUUUUACAGAUGGUUCAAUCAGGUUUAUCUGCAAAAAGUGAUGAUAAAACAGCCACUUUUUUUGGUCCGGAUUGAGUUACUAACUCAUACCGUAGUUAAGAAAUAUAGAGACUUGCCUUAUAAUUGAGAGCACUGAUUAAACUGGGUAGAGGAACAGGACAGGCAAUAUGGAAGACACCACUACACCCAGCAAUGGCAAUGCAAAGACCAUCAUAGUCCAGUAAAUCUGCCUUGAAGAGCUUCAGAUUCUCCUCAGCAUGUUCUAGUUUCUUCAGGUGUGGAGGGUACUUGGCCAUGGAGCUUGUGAAGUUUCACUUCUCGAAGCUGUUCAAGAAAGACUUGGUGCACUGUGAGAGUCGAGCUGUUCUGCCAUUUCUGGGUGCAGUAGCGUUUCCACAUUGCAAGCCCAUUUCGUCCUGGAAGUUCAUUAAUUGUAAGGCAAGGUGCAAGCUUUCUUAACAGCGUGACUAGGGUGUCGAUCAUGCCAUUAAGAAUUAGAGGUUUUAUGAUCAUUAUUGACAGGUAAAAUUGAUCCAACCAGCUGUGAAAGCAACACCGAAUGUAUUAUCAAAGUUAGGGGUGGCAAAACUCUCUCUCAUUCGGAUGAUCGA